This 307-nucleotide ribosomal RNA is filed under the name uncultured bacterium. RNAcentral's name for it is "bacterial SSU rRNA". It matches the Rfam family "Bacterial small subunit ribosomal RNA", at positions 30 to 337 of the family's 1533-position model. The record is from RNAcentral.
AUUGAACGCUGGCGGCAUGCCUUACACAUGCAAGUCGAGCGGCAGCGCGGGGGCAACCCUGGCGGCGAGCGGCGGACGGGUGAGUAAUACAUCGGAACGUGUCCUUUCGUGGGGGAUAACCAGUCGAAAGACUGGCUAAUACCGCAUGAGAUCUCACGAUGAGAGCGAGGGAUCCGCAAGGCCUCGCGCGAUUGGAGCGGCCGAUGUCGGANAGCUAGUUGGCGGGGUAAAAGCCCACCAAGGCUACGAUCCGUAGCUGGUUUGAGAGAACGACCAGCCACACUGGGACUGAGACACGGCCCAGACU